UGAGGUCAUUUAUUGUGAGGUUUAGAGAUAGAAUUAACUCAAAUUCAAAAAUCACUACUUGUCUCCCUCAUUUUCUAAGAGCCAAAUUCCCCUUAAAUUCAAUUGAUUUUACCCUAUUAUUUUGUUGUCUCUACAACCAAACACAGUCGAAGGGUGUUUCUUCUGCUUGUUCUAUUUUGGUCUUACAGAAACUUUUUAACCUAACUCAGUGAGUGUUUUAGUCUACCACGUUAAUAUGGAUCCAGAGGCUUCUAGGAAUGCUCGACAAUCCUUGGAACUAGCUUUUCAAAUGUCAAACAUUCUAGAAACAGGAUUGGAUCGCCACACACUUUCAGUCCUCGUUGCUCUUUGUGAAAAGGGCUUGAAUCCCGAGUCACUUGCUGCACUUGUCAAGGAGCUCAGAAGGGAACCACAAACUAACUCUACUACAACAUCUGCGGCUCCUACUUUUCCCUGAUCAGGUGAUUGUGAGCCAAGUCAAAAAGCUGUCAUAUUGGAAUAGUCUAUUUGCGUUCAGCCUCGUGAUAAUUUAUCACUGGAGAUAAGAUUUCGUAGAAUUUCAUUGUAUUUUAGAAGUAGGUCAUUGAUAUCGUUAGUAGCUUAUGAAUUCUAUUAUGUGAUGUGAAUCUGGUAUGCUUAAAGUUAGUCUUGUUUAUAUGAACUAGAUUUUGUGCCCGUGCUACGCACCGGGCGGACUCGAAACUAUCCAUUGUUCUUUUUUUAACCA
Molecule: long non-coding RNA, 727 nt
Organism: Papaver somniferum (opium poppy)
Lineage: Eukaryota; Viridiplantae; Streptophyta; Magnoliopsida; Ranunculales; Papaveraceae
Exons: 3
Source: RefSeq, a predicted model, not a curated record